GCUUAUUCUUAUUCUUUCUUAGUUGAAGUUCCUAUAUUGGUUUUUUCUUUCUUUAAUGAAUGUUAUAACUCCUAAUUCUUUGGUAGCAGGCCUCUUUGAUAGUUCGACAAUUAUCCCUCGUCUAACUCAACUAUUCGACUACCUCUCCCACUCAUCAAGGCAGACAUCAGAAACGAAACUAUUGCCAAGGGAGACCGGAGUACGCUAUGCCCCAUCACCUACAAAAAGAUCAGUUACGGAAGUACUGCGCUUCUCAGGGCCCUCUGCGUCAGAGUGACCCCGCCGGGGCGAUCCAGUUACCCGGAGUUUUACGCUAUGCCUCGUCACCUACAAAAAGACAGUUACAGAAGUACUGCGCUUCUCAAGGCCCUUUGCGUCAGAGUUACCACGCUGGGGCGCUCCUGUUACCCGAAGUUUAAGUUCGAUCCAUUAGGUUCUUUUUUUUUCAGAAAAGAAACGAGAGACAAGAAAACAUAUUUGAUUACGAUUAAAAGGAACAAUCUCAAAUAGACCAAGAUCCAAUUUCGGGUCAUUUCUUGGUGAACAUGAUCUGCCAUAAUCUCUUCGAUCCCUUCAUUUAUGUGCCAGAAUAGAGAGAGAUUUGGUAGGAAAGUGGAAGAGACCUUUUUGUAUAUGAUAAUCAAAGGGAGUGGGAAAGAUGCAGUAAUUCUUUGGAAAAGCCCGGUUCUCUUUGUCUUCGAGCUUUCAUUCCUCAAUCCCCUGAUUCCUUCCUUCAUAUACCUCCCCACUAAUAGAUAGAGACAAAUAGGAAUAACCGAACCACGUCUACAAAAUGCCAGUACCAUGCAGCUGCUUCAAAGCCAACUUGAUGCUCCUUGGUCAGAUGACCGAGAUAUUGGCGAAUACCACAUAUGAUCGAGAAAAUAGUACCUAUAAUCACAUAAAAACCAUGAAAGCCAGUUGCUAAGAAAAAGGUAGAAUCAUAAAUACUAUCUGAAAUAUUGAAGGGUGCUUGAUAAUAUUCCAUUCCUUGAAAGCCUGUGAAUACUACAGCCAGUGAAACGGUAGUUACUAAAGCGUAAACUACUCAUUUUUCCUUCCCCGCGAGUAUAGCAUGAUGGCCCAAGUUACGGCAGCUCCGAAUGAAAUAGGAAUAAGGGUAUUAAGAAAAGGGAUUUCCCAAGGAUCUAAAACCGAAAUCCCCUUUGGAGGCCAAAUACCUCCGAUCUCUACCAUAGGUUCCAAAGAAGAAUGAGAAGAAGCCCGAAAAAUAGCAAAAAAGAACAUAACCUCCGAUACGAUAAAUAGAAUAAAACCAUAUCGAGGUCCUAAUUUUACGACUUUGGGAUGUUUUUCGAACGUGGAUUCACGUAGAACAUCGCGCCACCAUAUGAACAUGAUAUAUAGGAUAAAUAUGAGGCCCAAACUGCGAAGUGUUGCACCCCUUUGGAAUGAGUGCAUGUACAUCACACCUCCUACGGUUGUUGCCAAAGCUCCGAGUGAACCCGAAAUAGGCCAUGGACUUGGAUCUACCAAAUGAUAAGAAUGCCUCUGAGAUUCAAUCAUAAACCACUUUGCCUCGGUUCUAUGUAAACCCCCCUUCACCCCCACCCCCUAAAGUAGUAAAGUAAAGAAGGGCUCUUUGGGGUCUAAUUUGCUUUCUAUCUGACAGGACAAACAAAGAAAUAGGAAGGGAUGGUUCUUUCAUUCCAUUGAUAGAAGUCUAUUCGCGGAUUAGUUCGUUCUGCGCCGCCAGCGGCCUCAACCUAAAGGCGCAGGUUGAUCUCUCUAGUUGAGGCUGCAUUCAUUUAUUCAUAUUCAACUUGACACGUGGGAAGGGCUUACUCUACUAGUGGCUCGGCUUGGUCUCGCUCCCUUCCCGCACUAUUCCUCCCCACUAAAAAGAGCGAUUGAGAAUCUCGAGAACCUUUCCGAACGUCUGUCUUCGCGGGGCAAUUGGAAAUGAAAGGAGUAUUUAAUUCUUUUACUGCCUUCCAUUCCACUAUUCUGAUCGAAUUAAUUGCUCUUCCGAACGACCAAGUCAUAAUGA
RNAcentral lists this long non-coding RNA (2011 nucleotides) under Nicotiana benthamiana. RNAcentral's name for it is "long non-coding RNA (NBEN_LNC009597)". The record is from RNAcentral. Lineage: Eukaryota; Viridiplantae; Streptophyta; Magnoliopsida; Solanales; Solanaceae.